RNAcentral lists this ribosomal RNA (447 nucleotides) under Actinomyces sp. C84. Its description in RNAcentral is "bacterial SSU rRNA". It matches the Rfam family "Bacterial small subunit ribosomal RNA", at positions 73 to 509 of the family's 1533-position model. Lineage: Bacteria; Bacillati; Actinomycetota; Actinomycetes; Actinomycetales; Actinomycetaceae. The record is from RNAcentral.
CCUUCCUUUUGGUGGGUGUGGAUGAGUAGGCGAACGGGUGAGUAACACGUGAGUAACCUGCCCCCUUCUUCUGGAUAACCGCAUGAAAGUGUGGCUAAUACGGGAUAUUCUGCGCCUGCUGCAUGGUGGGUGUGGGAAAGAUAUUGUUUCGGUGGGGGAUGGGCUCGCGGCCUAUCAGCUUGUUGGUGGGGUGAUGGCCUACCAAGGCGGUGACGGGUAGCCGGCCUGAGAGGGUGGACGGUCACACUGGGACUGAGACACGGCCCAGACUCCUACGGGAGGCAGCAGUGGGGAAUAUUGCACAAUGGGCGCAAGCCUGAUGCAGCGACGCCGCGUGAGGGAUGGAGGCCUUCGGGUUGUAAACCUCUUUCGCCAGUGAAGCAGGCCCGCCUCUUUUGUGGGUGGUUUGACGGUAUCUGGAUAAAAAGCGCCNGNUAACUACGUGCC